RNAcentral lists this ribosomal RNA (736 nucleotides) under uncultured Fusobacterium sp. Its description in RNAcentral is "bacterial SSU rRNA". It matches the Rfam family "Bacterial small subunit ribosomal RNA", at positions 28 to 776 of the family's 1533-position model. The record is from RNAcentral. Lineage: Bacteria; Fusobacteriati; Fusobacteriota; Fusobacteriia; Fusobacteriales; Fusobacteriaceae.
GAUGAACGCUGACAGAAUGCUUAACACAUGCAAGUCAACUUGAAUUUGGGUUUUUAACUUAGGUUUGGGUGGCGGACGGGUGAGUAACGCGUAAAGAACUUGCCUCACAGCUAGGGACAACAUUUGGAAACGAAUGCUAAUACCUAAUAUUAUGAUAAUAGGGCAUCCUAUAAUUAUGAAAGCUAUAAGCGCUGUGAGAGAGCUUUGCGUCCCAUUAGCUAGUUGGAGAGGUAACGGCUCACCAAGGCGAUGAUGGGUAGCCGGCCUGAGAGGGUGAUCGGCCACAAGGGGACUGAGACACGGCCCUUACUCCUACGGGAGGCAGCAGUGGGGAAUAUUGGACAAUGGACCAAGAGUCUGAUCCAGCAAUUCUGUGUGCACGAUGAAGUUUUUCGGAAUGUAAAGUGCUUUCAGUUGGGAAGAAAGAAAUGACGGUACCAACAGAAGAAGUGACGGCUAAAUACGUGCCAGCAGCCGCGGUAAUACGUAUGUCACGAGCGUUAUCCGGAUUUAUUGGGCGUAAAGCGCGUCUAGGUGGUUAUGUAAGUCUGAUGUGAAAAUGCAGGGCUCAACUCUGUAUUGCGUUGGAAACUGUAUAACUAGAGUACUGGAGAGGUAAGCGGAACUACAAGUGUAGAGGUGAAAUUCGUAGAUAUUUGUAGGAAUGCCGAUGGGGAAGCCAGCUUACUGGACAGAUACUGACGCUGAAGCGCGAAAGCGUGGGGUAGCAAACAGG